Long non-coding RNA from Mercenaria mercenaria, 1430 nucleotides. RefSeq lists it as uncharacterized. NCBI's taxonomy places the organism in Eukaryota, Metazoa, Mollusca, Bivalvia, Venerida, Veneridae. The record is from RefSeq and is a predicted model, not a curated record. The transcript is spliced from 3 exons.
GAGGCAUACUUAGUUAGGUGAACAAAGCAGAAAACAGAUACCGCUAUCGGAAUUAUUAAUUUAAUGACGUCUAACAUUGCAGUUGCGGAGACACAACUUCUACACUACGGAAAUGUAGAUCUGGAUUCGACACCGUGGCUAACUCAAACACAGUGUUUAUCUUUUUGUGAUUCAAAGCUGUCGACCUUUACUCUUUUUCCACGGAUGACUUUGAAACUGCUACAUAAAUGGUCCAUGGAAUUACGCUGGAAAAAAAAAGAAUGUUACAAAGACUGCCGCAGCACGUUAGAGAUGGGUUACCUAGGUUCCUCAAACUCAUGCGUUUACAAAUAUCAGUGAUUUCAACGAAAAUUAAAAAUUAGUUAAGUGCAUUCUAACAUAAAAGCUAAAAAGGACUCCAAUUCUAGUGGAGAAAUUCACAUUCCCAUCUGGUGAUUUUAAAGACAGAUAGUUCUUUGUUACACACUGAGCUGACUACAUAUACGUACACGGGAAUAGAGAUGACUGUCUCUAUACAUCUGUAGGGAAAGUUAACGCAUGUUAAAGAACCAGACUGUCUAUUCUCAGUAAUAAUAAUGAUAAUAACAGUAAUAAUAACGUGUAAUAAAAGAAUAUCAUCUAAACUCAUAAAUAAAAUUUCAGUUUUAUUUGAUGGUUGCAAUUUAAAAAGGCACCGUUGUUAAAUAAUCUUCUAUAAACAGCCGGCCUAUUGUUAGUGAACCGGUCUUUUCAAUACGAAACAUUUAAUUCUUUGGCUAUUGACAUAAUAAGUGUAAUCUUGUAAAAUGGCAAUGAUGUUGGUUAACACAUGUAUUUAUUGAAGCAUGGAAUGUUUAGUGUUUAAUCUACAACGAUAGGAUUUAAAUGAGCUGUGCCAUGAGAAAACCAACAAAGUGGCUUUGCAACCAGCAUGGAUCCAGACCAGCCUGUGCAUCAACAGUCUGAUCAGGGUCCAUGCUGUUCGCAUUCAAAGCCUAUAGCAAUUAGAGAAACCGUAAGCGAACAGCAUGGAUGCGCAGGCUGGUCUGGAUCCAUGCUGGUCGCAAACCCACUAUGUUGGUUUUCCCAUGGCGCGGCCCAAAUGAUAAAACAACAACAAAAAUGAUAAAAAGAUAAAGAAGUAUGCGGGGGACUAGCUAUAGAUCGCUAGAGGCAAAAAAUACCAUGUUUAAUGUACCCGAACGUAUAAAUCAUCUAUUAACAUUAUUAAGCACCGUAUCACUAGAUGACUUUUCACAUGAUACCCAGGAGUAAUAAAUAACUAAUGACCCUAGUUCAUAAAACAAACUGACCGAUAUCUUUCGAUCAGGCUUUUUAUUCCCGCAAACUAAAAAAUAGAUUUGAAAAGUAUUAGUUGUUUUUUGUUUUGUGUUUUUUUUAUCAAAGAACAAUUAUUCAGCAUGUAAUUUAUCGGAUCGUCAAGUUUUCAA